This 72-nucleotide transfer RNA is filed under the name Ovis aries (sheep). It matches the Rfam family "tRNA". Rfam says of the family: Transfer RNA (tRNA) molecules are approximately 80 nucleotides in length. Lineage: Eukaryota; Metazoa; Chordata; Mammalia; Artiodactyla; Bovidae. The record is from Rfam by way of RNAcentral.
UCCCUGGUGGCUCAGAGGUUAAAGCGUCUGCCUGGAAUGCAGGAGACCCAGGUUCGAUCCCUGGGUCGAGAA